GACGAACGCUGGCGGCGUGCCUAAUACAUGCAAGUCGAACGCUUCUUUCCUCCCGAGUGCUUGCACUCAAUUGGAAAGAGGAGUGGCGGACGGGUGAGUAACACUUGGGUAACCUACCCAUCAGAGGGGGAUAACACUUGGAAACAGGUGCUAAUACCGCAUAACAGUUUAUGCCGCAUGGCAUAAGAGUGAAAGGCGCUUUCGGGUGUCGUUGAUGGAUGGACCCGCGGUGCAUUAGCUAGUUGGUGAGGUAACGGCUCACCAAGGCCACGAUGCAUAGCCGACCUGAGAGGGUGAUCGGCCACACUGGGACUGAGACACGGCCCAGACUCCUACGGGAGGCAGCAGUAGGGAAUCUUCGGCAAUGGACGAAAGUCUGACCGAGCAACGCCGCGUGAGUGAAGAAGGUUUUCGGAUCGUAAAACUCUGUUGUUAGAGAAGAACAAGGACGUUAGUAACUGAACGUGCCCUGACGGUAUCUAACCAGAAAGCCACGGCUAACUACGUG
RNAcentral lists this ribosomal RNA (508 nucleotides) under uncultured bacterium. RNAcentral's name for it is "partial 16S ribosomal RNA". It matches the Rfam family "Bacterial small subunit ribosomal RNA", at positions 28 to 507 of the family's 1533-position model. The record is from RNAcentral.